CCUCAAACAGCCUCACAUCUCUCUAGCAGACACAACAGGAAAGGUCAGAACCACCACAGGCUGAGCCUCGCUGGAAAGGUCUGCACAUAUCAUAAUAAUCAUAAUAAUGUCAACAAAUAGGACACUUUAGAGUUCAUAGUGGAAGUUUAACUUAACUUUUUUCCCCCAACCUACUAAUUCACAUGAGCUGGGAAGUCAUUUUCACUCAAGAAGAAAAACAGCAGGUGGCGUUUCAACAAACUCAUCCACCGAUGAAGACCAUGAAAUGUGGUUCAAUCUCCAGAAAAUGCAAAGCAGCAGCCUACAAGAAACAAGAGCCACUGCAGAAACACAAGAGCAGAUCUGAAGCCUGAUUUGAUUGCCGCGGUGAUUAUCAUCCCAUCAGACAAGCGGUAAUUGUGAAGUAGAUGUGAGGAGGCAGACAGAGGCAGGGGGCUGAGCACGAGCAGCUUGACAACAGGCCAGGUUAGAGGGAGGAGGUCCAGGACAGAACAUGCUGAGCUGCCGCUGCGGCUCAUAAUUGGUCGUCUGUUUCUCGUCCUACCUGUGGGUGUUGUUCAAACCGAGGCCGCGGUGACACUUCAUCUCCUGCCAGGAGUCAAGCUAUCCGGGGUUUAAUGGUGCCUGUGCAGGAACAUUUUUUUUUUGAUCUACACAAGGGCUACACCGGGAAAAUCAAUUAAUAGUGACUAAUGGCAACAGAGAUGUUUUUUCCUCUCAUGGAUUUAAUCCUUUUACACAAGUUUUAGGGACAGUUGUAGGGCGGGAGGGUGGAUGUUUUCACCAACUCUUUACAUGUCUGAAUGCACCAAUGACUUUAUCAGAUUAUCAUACUUAGUUUAUCCCUCCCUGCCCAAAGCAAUGUUAGAGUACUGUAAGGACAGUUAUGUGCCUUGUUUGUUAUGUUCUUAUUAUACAAGAGUUGCUGAAGAGUUGCUGGUUUUGCUAAUAUGAUAGUGUCCUCGUUUUUGGACUCUCUAUCUCUCUAAUAUCUAUACAU
Thunnus maccoyii (southern bluefin tuna) is the source of this 1000-nucleotide long non-coding RNA. RefSeq lists it as uncharacterized. Lineage: Eukaryota; Metazoa; Chordata; Actinopteri; Scombriformes; Scombridae. The record is from RefSeq and is a predicted model, not a curated record. The transcript has 4 exons.